UUUUAAAUUUCAAAAUUUGAAAUUUCAAAGUUAAAAUUUUAAAUUUAAAAAUAUAUAUUUAAAAUUUUAAAAAUUUAAAUUCAAAUAUAAUAAGAGGAUAAUAUGAUUAUUUUUUAUUUAUAAAACGCACUAUCUUUCUUAUUCUAUCUUACCUAACCAAACGCUAUUUUUUUUAUUCUCAGGAAUAACCCAAUUUCCAUCCAAACGCAAAAUUGAUCUAAUCCCCGCUUAUACCUCAAUUUAUACCUAACCCUGGAAUAGCUACUUUUUUCUUAUUUUCGAACCAAACGAUACUUAAGACUCCAAGUUGGUGCUUGUAUUUAAAAUAAAAAAUACUAUGUUUACUAAUAAUUUCUAUAUGAUUUUACAAAUUGCAUAGUUUAAUAUUUAGAAUUUUUUUUUUCUCUCAAUCUUGACUUAUUUCUUUGUAUUUGUAAAAUAAUAUAAAAAUUAUUACUAAACGUAACAUCAUUUUUUUAAAUAGGUUAUAGUUUUUUUAAAAAUAAAUUUAAUUAAAAAUAUGAAGUAAAAUUAGGUUUUUAAUUUGAAAUCUUAGAUAUCAAUCGUGAAGUCCUUAAUCAAUUUAUUAAGAUUGGUUGAUAUAUAUAUGUUUUUUCAAAGAUUUUUUUUUUAUCUGUAAUAUAUAACAGAUAUGUAAGAUUUGUUAUCUAGAAAUAAAAUUAACUUAAAAUAAAGGAUUUAAUUUCAUAUAGAUCUGUGCUAACAUAAUGAAUGACAAAUAUAUUCCUACAAAAUUUAAUUUUUAUAUGUUGUUUCUAUCUAUGUUUUAAUAUUUUCAAAUAUAUCCCUCUGGUUUAUUCCCGUUAGAGAACCGUUUAUAUUUUAUAUUAUAUUAUUAUAAUUUUUAUAUGUUGUUUCUAUCUAUGUUUUAAUAUUUUCAAAUAUAUCCCUCUGGUUUAUUCCCGUUAGAGAACCGUUUAUAUUUUUAAAUUUGCUAUUACAAAUAUGUCUCUUCAAAAAUUAUAAUAAUAUAAUAUAAGAAGGAUAAGAAUAUCAAAAGCUAAUCAGGGUAAAUUAUUUAAUCUAUGAUUAAUUAAAAUUUUCUAACGGAUUGUGGCGUUUCAGGAUUUUUGCGGACACAAGAUAUAAAAAUUGAACUUUGUAGGGAUAAAUUUGUCAUUUACUGUAUUUACAGGGAGCCGUAUGAAAUUAACCCUAAAGUUAAAAUAUC
RNAcentral lists this long non-coding RNA (1192 nucleotides) under Ananas comosus (pineapple). RNAcentral's name for it is "long non-coding RNA (ACOM_LNC010539)". The record is from RNAcentral. Lineage: Eukaryota; Viridiplantae; Streptophyta; Magnoliopsida; Poales; Bromeliaceae.